AUAGAGACUCAGAGCUGCAUAUCAAUAAGCGGAGGAAAAGAAACUAACAAGGAUUCCCUUAGUAACGGCGAGUGAAGCGGGAAGAGCUCAAAUUUGAAAUCUUCAAGGUUCUACCUUGACGAAUUGUAGUUUAUAGAAGUGUUUUCUGUUAGUGGAGUGGCAAAAGUUCUUUGGAAUAGGACAUCAUAGAGGGUGAGAAUCCCGUAUUUGGUCAUUCUUUCUAGCUUUGUGAUACACUUUCAACGAGUCGGAUUGUUUGGGAAUGCAGUCCAAAAUGGGUGGUAAAUUUCAUCUAAAGCUAAAUAUUGGCGAGAGACCGAUAGCGAACAAGUACCGUGAGGGAAAGAUGAAAAGAACUUUGAAAAGAGAGUUAAACAGUACGUGAAAUUGUCAAAAGGGAAGCGUUUGACACCAGUGUUGUUUUUCCGAAAAUCAAUUACGAAUGUUUUGUUUUUAAGAAGUUAUGACUUCAUCGGCUUGCUUCUCUCUUUACUGAAACUUUCUUAAUGCACUUUUCGGUUAACAAGUCAACAUCAAUUUCUUUUGUUGUAAAAGGGUAUGAGGAAGGUGGCUUUCUUUUCGGAGAAAGUGUUUAUAGCCUUGUACCUCUGCAAUCGGAGAGAUUGAGGUCUGCAGCGUAGAUCCUUCGGGGUUAGAUACAUUUGUGCUAAGUUAUAGCUUUUCAUAGACAACUUGUUGACUAUGUUUAGUCUUGUAGCUUACUCGCUUAUGCUAUUUUACCUACGCUUAGGAUGUUGAUAGUCACAGCGUGUAC
RNAcentral lists this ribosomal RNA (775 nucleotides) under uncultured Neocallimastigales. RNAcentral describes it as "partial large subunit ribosomal RNA". It matches the Rfam family "Eukaryotic large subunit ribosomal RNA", at positions 23 to 644 of the family's 3401-position model. The record is from RNAcentral. Lineage: Eukaryota; Fungi; Neocallimastigomycota; Neocallimastigomycetes; Neocallimastigales.